This 497-nucleotide ribosomal RNA is filed under the name uncultured bacterium. RNAcentral's name for it is "partial 16S ribosomal RNA". It matches the Rfam family "Bacterial small subunit ribosomal RNA", at positions 28 to 507 of the family's 1533-position model. The record is from RNAcentral.
GAUGAACGCUGGCGGCGUGCCUAAUACAUGCAAGUCGAGCGAACAGACGAGGAGCUUGCUCCUCUGACGUUAGCGGCGGACGGGUGAGUAACACGUGGAUAACCUACCUAUAAGACUGGGAUAACUUCGGGAAACCGGAGCUAAUACCGGAUAAUAUAUUGAACCGCAUGGUUCAAUAGUGAAAGACGGUUUUGCUGUCACUUAUAGAUGGAUCCGCGCCGCAUUAGCUAGUUGGUAAGGUAACGGCUUACCAAGGCGACGAUGCGUAGCCGACCUGGGAGGGGGAUCGGCCACACUGGAACGGGGACACGGUCCAGACUCCUACGGGAGGCAGCAGAAGGGAAUCUUCCGCAAUGGGCGAAAGCCUGACGGAGCAACGCGGCGUGAGUGAUGAAGGUCUCCGGAUCGUAAAACUCUGUUAUGAGGGAAGAACAAAUGUGUAAGUAACUAUGCACGUCGUGACGGUACCUAAUCAGAAAGCAACGGCUAACUACGUG